RNAcentral lists this ribosomal RNA (253 nucleotides) under uncultured bacterium. RNAcentral describes it as "partial 16S ribosomal RNA". It matches the Rfam family "Bacterial small subunit ribosomal RNA", at positions 524 to 776 of the family's 1533-position model. The record is from RNAcentral.
UACGGAGGGUGCAAGCAUUAAUCGGAUUUAUUGGGCGUAAAGGGCGCGUAGGCGGGAAUUUAAGUCAGAUGUGAAAUCCCGAGGCUCAACCUCGGAACUGCAUUUGAAACUGGAUUUCUUGAGGAUAGACGGAGAAAGUGGAAUUCCACAAGUAGCGGUGAAAUGCGUAGAUAUGUGGAGGAAUACCAGUGGCGAAGGCGACUUUCUAGUUUAUUCCUGACGCUGAGGCGCGAAAGCAAGGGGAGCAAACAGG